AUGCUGACCUACGUCUUUCACAAUGGCUUAGGUCAUCCAGUUCAUCUGAGCACCUUUCUUUGGUGGUUUUGCCAGCAGCAGUGGAGAACUGGAAGAAGAUUGAGCUCUCCAAACUGUGAUGAACACGCAAAAGGCAUGCUGCAGGCCUUUCAAGGUCGUGGAGAAGCUGGAAUCGUUCUGCCCGGAGUUCAGUCCAGCUGCUCCGUGUCGGGUGUGGGAUAUGCUGCUGCUGGAGCCCACUGGGAGGAGCCUUUGUGUACCAGUCCUGCGUGAGCCCCAGGGAGUAGAUUAAUAGAGCUCCCGUUGCUGUCUCUGUGAAAGAAGAGGAACUGGGACUCUUCCUGAGAGAGAGGUGGGGCGCAGUGAGGCAGAAGAGAGAACAGAAGGUGUGGUGGUUUUUGUUCAGAUGGG
This 411-nucleotide long non-coding RNA is filed under the name Numida meleagris (helmeted guineafowl). Its description in RNAcentral is "lncRNA (ENSNMEG00000016718.1)". The record is from RNAcentral. Lineage: Eukaryota; Metazoa; Chordata; Aves; Galliformes; Numididae.